This 405-nucleotide ribosomal RNA is filed under the name uncultured bacterium. Its description in RNAcentral is "partial 16S ribosomal RNA". It matches the Rfam family "Bacterial small subunit ribosomal RNA", at positions 30 to 526 of the family's 1533-position model. The record is from RNAcentral.
AUUGAACGCUGGCGGCAGGCUUAACACAUGCAAGUCGAACGAGUGGCGGACGGGUGAGUAAUGCUUGGGAAUCUAGCUUAUGGAGGGGGAUAAAUACGGGAAACUGUAAAUAAUACCGCGUACAACACGCUGAGCCCAAGUGGGAUUAAGUAGUUGGUGAGGUAAUGUCUCACCAUGACGACGAUUUCUAGCUGGUCUGAGAGGAUGAACGGCCACACUGGGACUGAGACACGGCCCAGACUCCUACGGGAGGCAGCAGUUGGGAAGAUUGCGCAAUGGUGGCAACCUGACGGAGCCAGGCCGCGUGAAUGAAGAAGGCCUUCGGGUUGUAAAGUUCUUUCGGUAGCGAGGCGUUAGCUACAGAGAAAGCACCGGCUAACUCCGUGCCAGCAGCCGCGGUAAUUC